UACGUAGGGGGCAAGCGUUGUCCGGAAUCAUUGGGCGUAAAGAGCGUGUAGGCGGCUUGGUAAGUCCGCUGUGAAAGUCCAGGGCUCAACCCUGGAAUGCCGGUGGAAACUGUCGAGCUAGAGUCCGGAAGAGGCGAGUGGAAUUCCUGGUGUAGCGGUGAAAUGCGCAGAUAUCAGGAGGAACACCAAUGGCGAAGGCAGCUCGCUGGGACGGUACUGACGCUGAGACGCGAAAGCGUGGGGAGCAAACAGG
RNAcentral lists this ribosomal RNA (253 nucleotides) under uncultured bacterium. Its description in RNAcentral is "partial 16S ribosomal RNA". It matches the Rfam family "Bacterial small subunit ribosomal RNA", at positions 524 to 776 of the family's 1533-position model. The record is from RNAcentral.